CCCCGACCGGGGGUGGCCCGGGGACGGCGGCCCCCACCGAGCUGUCCCGGAGGACCGGGGGCGCGGCGGGGGGAGGGGGUGCGCGGCGCGAGGGAGCAGUUGGAGAGAUGCUGACUGUUUACACCAACGGAGCAAGAAGACGGAGAGCCAUUUGAGGAGGGCGGCAUGGGCAGCACCACUGAGCAACGACAAAUUUCAGCCCCCAGCAUCUUCCUUCUCUAUUUGCAAGAAUACCCGUGGCUUGAAGAAACCCAGCAGGAGGAGGAACAAGUGCAGUGCUGGAGUGAUGGAGGGUCGCCACCUGCAAGGCUGUGCCGGCAACCCUGCUCUGUUGUUGCUGGGUGGCUCUGGGGGCUCUGCAGGUCCCACUGUUACUGUGGGGCUGCCUCUGCCCCCCUCUCCAGCCCCCGCCAGGCUGCCUUGCCCCACGGCUUCCUACUCGCCCCACCCAUGUUUACAUACGAUCAACCAGGCGGCCGCAGCCUCCUGCACAAAGGGCAGAGUCCUCCUCGGACCCCCCUUCCCCUCCCCCCCCAUUCCAGGGGUGUCGGAUGCAGGGGGACCCGCAGACAUCACCCACCCAGUGGGCACCAAACCCUCACCAUUCUCCCCCAAAAGCAGCACAGCCCCAACAGCCACAGCUGGGCACUGUGCCCCAUGGCAGCGAGCAGCAUGGGAACCCCAACCUCCCCCAACCCCCCCAGCGAUACCCAG
Molecule: long non-coding RNA, 714 nt
Organism: Gallus gallus (chicken)
Lineage: Eukaryota; Metazoa; Chordata; Aves; Galliformes; Phasianidae
Source: Ensembl